AGAGUUUGAUCAUGGCUCAGAACGAACGCUGGCGGCAGGCUUAACACAUGCAAGUCGAACGCCCCGCAAGGGGAGUGGCAGACGGGUGAGUAACACGUGGGAACAUGCCCAAAGGUACGGAAUAUUCUCGGGAAACUGGGAGCAAUACCGUAUGUGCCCGAAAGGGGAAAGAUUUAUCGCCUUUGGAUUGGCCCGCGUUGGAUUAGCUAGUUGGUGGGGUAAAAGCCUACCAAGGCGACGAUCCAUAGCUGGUCUGAGAGGACGACCAGCCACACUGGGACUGAGACACGGCCCAGACUCCUACGGGAGGCAGCAGUGGGGAAUCUUGGACAAUGGGCGCAAGCCUGAUCCAGCCAUGCCGCGUGAGUGAUGAAGGCCCUAGGGUUGUAAAACUCUUUCGUGGGGGACGAUAAGACGGUACCCCCAGAAGAAGCUCCGGCUAACUUCGUGCCAAGAGCCGCGGUAAUAC
RNAcentral lists this ribosomal RNA (469 nucleotides) under uncultured bacterium. Its description in RNAcentral is "bacterial SSU rRNA". It matches the Rfam family "Bacterial small subunit ribosomal RNA", at positions 8 to 526 of the family's 1533-position model. The record is from RNAcentral.